GGCGGUUUUCCCUCUGCCUGUACCCUGAGAGGCUGGAGAGACGAGGGAGGGAAGGUGUUUUUAGACUGAGGGGAAGAAAGGAUCGACGUGGGGCUAGAGUAUGGCAGCUCCGAAAUCUCUGGAAAACAGAUUUGUGAGGCGUGGCUGAUGUGACCCUGUGGGGACAAGGCCCCAGAACGGGUGUCCACCUAACCUAAUUAGGCGAGAACAGAGGGUGUGAAGGACACGGGUAGGCCGACGGGACUUCAGUCCACUAACCAGAAGUUGUAUAGCUUAAGCAACAUGAGAAAAGAUAUGAACCUCACCUGUGCCAUUUUACAUGGUUAAAGCGUGAGCUUUAUGCCAGGGAGCGAGGAAGGGAAGAAAUCUGAUCCCUCCUCCGGUGGGAGGAGAUGGGAAGCCAGCCCGGAAGACCACGCUCACCUGCGUGUGGUCUCAAACAAUCUUGGGAAUAAUAUGCCAUUGUAUAUAUGUCCACCUUAAAUAGACACAAGUUUUAUUUGGGCAGAAAAAAUCUUGGGAAACUUUCCUCCUCCAGCCUUGUGGAUGAGAACCUGACCUAAUGAGUUGUCUGUAUUUCCAUUUUGCCCCAGAAGAUAGCGGUCAAGAGGUAGCACAGGAGAAAUAAAAUCAUUACAAACAGGUGUUGAAAUUUGUACUGCUUGCAAAGAAAGAAGCUAUGUUUUCAACAUUCAAAUAUUGUGCAAUAGAUUAUUUAUAUGAGAAUGUAAUUAGGAAGAAGUUUUCUAGAGAUGCUUUCUUGCUUCGAAUCCCUUCAUGUUUAUAUCAAGAUGGAGAUUAUCUUACAGGAGUUAUUGAUAGUGCAUUUAGGAGGCCAUGGACAAGAG
Non-coding RNA from Equus caballus (horse), 848 nucleotides. The record is from RefSeq and is a predicted model, not a curated record. Lineage: Eukaryota; Metazoa; Chordata; Mammalia; Perissodactyla; Equidae.